AAAAAAAGAAAAAAAAGAAAAAAAAAGGGUACUUAUCCAUUUAACGCUUGGAUAUCUUAAAAUGAUAAUAUGAAUUCUCCUAGGCUAAAACAAAGAGCUCAUCAUUAGACUCACUUGAAAAGCUUGACUUCUGUUCAUCUCCUCUCUGCACUGUCUUUCAUUAUUUCUCUCUUAACAGUUACGUACAAACGAAGUAAUGCUUGAAAAAUGACAAUUCUAAUUCAUAGUUAACUUGAAAUUUCCGUUAAAUUUCUAUUAGAAUACUUGAAAGUCUUGCUGUGAUUUUGUAGAUAAUGUCACUUCCUAUCUUCUUUUCCUUCAAAAGGCUGGAAGGCUUGAAAGUCAAUAAGAUAAGCCAUUUCCCAAAUUGCAAUGCCUCUACCACAGAGCUGAGCCCGAAAUGGGUUGAGAGUCCACCGAGUCAUGACUUGUUACCUCGAGUUGUGGCACCUCAAUAUAUGGAAAUUCCCACUUCUCCAAACUUAAUGCAACUUCAGCAGGUUCAUCUUGAUUUGGUUUAGUUUCGCUUCCUAAAGCUACAUAAACAGCUCAAACCAUUCCUUAAUUUGAAGCCAGUUUUCAUGCUGCUCGUAGAAUCACCAGACUGAAAUAUUAUGCUUUUUGAAAAUACUCUCCAGAUUUUGUAGCCACUCAGACUCAAAUUCAUAACUUCUUACAGCUACUAAAUGCCUGAAACAUUUCCGUCAUCUAUAGUUGCAUCGCGAAACUGUCGGAUGUUUCUAAGGGGAGUUUCACAAUGAAAUCUUCCGGUUUAUUUUCCAAUAUAAUCCAUGUUGGACCAGCACUAAAUGCGCUGAAAAAUGCACAUGGAAUGUUGAGUUUAGCAAAUUCUGGGCACAUAAUAUGAAACUAAAUCAUUUGGAAACCAGUACUUGGAUUGUUAUGUCAAGUAUCGAACCAAAUAUACAAGAAUACUUUGCAAAAUCAAGUUACAAAAUAGAAAUUUAUUUAACCCUUUCAAGAAAACUCAGAUUGAGGCAUCAAAGUGAAGAUCAUUACAUUUGGGGCUCAGACUCAAUAAAACUAGGACUGUGCUCGUCUGUGUAACCGCGAGAUCCACCCAGAAAACCCUAAAGCAUUCCGCUAUCGAUUAAAGGAAACCACAAGGGUAAUAGACUCACACCAACCCUUCCAAUACAUAAAGUAUAUGUUUUCACUAAUAAACAAUCAUAUAGAAAACACUUCCAAUUAGAGAUUGAAAGAAUACAGAAAAGUACAAAGAAGAAGAAUCUUGAAAAAUCACACACCAACGACCAAGAAAUGACGGUAUGAUUGAAUAGGGUAACCAAGGGAUAAUAAUUAUACUCUCACAAUCAGCCGUUGAUCAAGUUUCAUCUAACGGUCCAGAUGGCUUCAUAGUGAAUAGAAGAAAACACGUAUGAGCUGCAACUAAAAUGCCACGCCACAAAACAUGUUUUUAGCUUUGGGCUCGGGUUUUGGAUCAAGUCACGUCAUUGGGCAAGAGCCUAAGUAUUAAAAAAAAUAAAAUUUUAGCCCAUUAUUUCAUCAUUGCCCCAAGAGAUAAUUGGCAUCACAAUCCAAAACCUCCACCUUGAUGCCAACGGAUUUCUGGACACUUGCAACUCUACAAUUGACACCAAGUUCUACCUUUGUUCCCAUAUAUGAUGGAUUGAAUUGUGUAGGAAUUUUUUAAAGAAUGAAAGAUUCACUAGAGAUAAUAUUUCUAAUAAAAUGUAAUUUUACAUCUAUAUGUUUUGUUCUUUCAUAAAAAAAAGUAUUCUUACACAAAUGUAUUGCAUUUUGGCUAUCAAAAUAGACAACGAUAGGUUCAUUAAGCAAGUUUAUUUCAGAGAUCAAUCCCUUGAGCCACAAGGCUUCUUUUACAACCUCUGUGGUUGACAAAGCAACAAUGGACCAUAAUUGAGAUUUUCAACUUGCACAAGUACCAAAAAAGUAAACAUAUAAGCAUAUGUGGAUUUUCUAUUGUCUCUAUUACCAACAAAAUCAACAUAAACAAACCUUUAAGCAUUAUCCCUUUGUCAUUAUUUUUAAACACUAAUCCCAACUUGGAUGUGCCUUUCAAAUACCUAAGAAGCCACUUAAGAGCUUUCUAGUGUUUAGGGCGAUGGUUAGUCAUAAACCUACUUAAAGUGCUAAUUGCAUGAGCCACAUCAAGUCUGAUACAGACUAUAGAAUACAUGAUAGAUCCCACAACAUUAGCAUAAGGGACCUUUUCCAUAUAUCUUAUAUCAGAUUCAUCAAUUGGGCAUUACUCUUUAAUAAGUUUGAAAUGACUAACUAAAGGCAAGGAAACAGAUUUUGAUUCAUGCAUGAAAAACUUAGAUAAAACCUUCAACAUAUGCUGAUUGUUUCAAAAUUAACAUGGAUUGAGAUCUUUUACUAAUUGUGUCCAUCCCAAGUAUCCUUUUAGCAUGACCCAAAUUUUCAUGUCAAACUCAAUUCUAAAACUUCUUUAAUAUCAUUUAUCAGUUUAGAGUUAGGUCCUAUUAAUAACAUAUCAUUGACAUAUAAUAACAGGUAAACUGAUAUAACAGAUUCAGAACUUCUUUUAAAAUAAAGGCAAUGAUCAUAAGAGUUUCUUACAAAACCAACAGUUACAACAAAAUUAUCAAAAAUUUUAUAUCAUUGUCUAGGUGAUUGUUUCAAUCCAUACGUGCAAUAUCAUUUCCCAUCAUUAUUUCUCCACCUCCUAUCUUCUUAAAUUUUUGAAGCCAAGACCUUUCGUGUGUAAUUCGAAAGUUGUAGCCUGAGUCCAAAAUCCAUUCAUGGACAUGUUGUCUGUUAUCAGCAUAAUUUGCCAAUUCCAAAUUAUGCUACUGAGCCACAACCUUUACAUCAACAGUGUUAGGUUCAGCUGAUUUAAUCACAUUUUCCUCAUCUAUUUUCUUAUCUCUAUGUUCAUUCUUCUUGUUGUGGUAGUCUCUUAUAUUGUGCAUUAUUUUGCCACAACCAUAACACUUCCUAUUCUUUGAUUUUGAUUUUGACCUUGACUCAUUCCUAAAUUUCUUUCUAUUAUUGUUUCCUAAAUGAUUUUGAUUUUUCUGAGUAUUAUUUUGCCUAUUUGGUUGUCUACCUUUCAGAAACAAACUUUCUGAUUCCUUCCCAUGUCUUUUCAAUUUUAAGUUCUAAUUCUUUACUUCUUAAAGAAUUUAUAACAACAUCAAGAGUCAAACUAUCUCUACCAUACUUAAUGGCAGUUUUGACAUCUCUGUACGCCUCUGGUAUGGCAUUAAGAAAUAUUACUACCUUAUAUUCCUUUGAUAUUUUAUCCCCAACAUUAGUAAUGUCUUCUACCAGUUUAUUAAAGGCAUCAAGAUUAUCAUUUAAGUCUUUGGAUGAAUCAAUUUUAAAACUAGCGAACCUUUUGUUAGGCAAAGACUUGACUAAGUAUAGUUCUUCUAGUUUAUCCUAUAAUGCCUUAGAAUUGCCAAGUUUUCCUACCUUUCUCAACACCUGAUCAGACAAGUGAAGGAUAAUGGAGCUAUAUGCUAAUUCAUUAGAUUAAGUUCUCUAAUCAGUAGUCAUUGUUGUAGGGAAUUCACCAAUUAUAGCCUUAGAGACUUUCUGUUGUACUAAAAACCCCAUUAUUUUUUUGUUGCCAUAUAGGAAAAUCUCCCUUCCCAUUAAAGACCCCAAGUUCAAAACUAGUGAUGACCAUAUUAUCAAUCAAACUAGUCACAAUCAGUAAUAUAUAAGUUUGAUCACUCCAAGCAAAUAAAAAAGGGAUUAUGAUAUAUAGGCAAGACAGUAAAUAUUCUUUCAAGAGAGGAUAACACGUGAAUACAUAGGAUUACAAUUUUAUGAGGUGAGUCUCAGAUAUCAUGCACAAUACACUUAGAUAGCAUACGUACAUCAAGGGAGAAUUAUGUAGGUGUAGCAAUGAAAAUAGUGAAUGUGGACAAUUCAACCAACACGGUUAAAAUUUUAAAGAUCAAUUGCCCAACCCUACCAGGAUUCCGUGAGAAUCAAGUUCUCAGGUCAAGACAGGGCGGAGGGUAGAGGUUUUAUAGCAGAGAAAAAAAAAAGGAUCUCAAGGAAAAUACGUGAUUUACACGUUACUACAAUAAAAAAAAUAAAAAAAAUAGGCAUGUAAUAUUCUACACACAGCACCAAAGAGGCACUCGGUCAAUAAACAUUAUCAAGAAAUAAUAAGAAUCUAGGCAAAAGAGUAAAGUUCGAAAGAGUAAAUCAAGAUGGUGGUCAUUUCACUUGACCACCAACAGAUCUUGCCAAAACAACAGUCCACACACCCAGAGAUGGACAUAUCGCACCAUUAAAAAAUGCUUUUACAAGAAAAGGUUAGUUCCAUUUUAGAUUUGCUAGAUCUAGGGUUUAUAACCCCAAAUAUUCUCAAGAUCUACAGUAUAUCACUGGAACAUGGUUCGAUUUACACAAAAUAGCCAAUCGAAGGCUCUGAUACCAUUGUUAUGUCAAGUUUCAAAGCAAAUAUACAUGAUUACUCAAGAAUACUUUGCAAAAUCAAGUUACAAAAUAGAAAUUUAGUUAACCCUUUCAAGAAAACUCAUAUCAAGGCAUCUAAGUGAAGUUUAUUACAUUUGAGGUUCUGACUUGGUAAAACUAGGAUUGUACCUGUCUGUGUGACUACAAGAUCCACCCAGAAAAUCCUAAAGCAUUCCUCUAUCUGUUAAAGGAAGCCACCGGGGUAAUAUACUCAAACCAACCCUUUCAAUACACUAAGCAUAUGUUUUCAUUAAGAAACAAUCACACAGAACAUUUCUUAUCGAAGAUUGGAAGAACACAAAAAAGUGGGAAGUAGAAGAUUCUCGAAGAACCACACACCAACAACCAAGAAAUGGCGGUAUGACUGAAUAGGGCAACCAAGGGAUAAUAUUUAUACUCCCACAAUCAACCAUUGAUCAAGUCAUCAUCUAACUGCCUAGAUGGCACCAUAGUGAAUAGAAGAAAACGCAUAUAGGCUACAACCAAAAUGCCGUGCCACAAAACACGCUUUUGGUUUGGGCCUGGGUUUUGGAUCAAGUCACGUUAUUGAGCAAGAGCCUAAAUAUCAACAAAACGUUUUCGGGCUGUAGCCCAUUAUUUCAUAAUUGCCCCCAAGAGAUAAUUGGCAUCACAGCCCAAAACAACAUGGAUGAAUCUUGCGGACCAUAUCUUGAGAGAGAUUAUCAACUUUUGGCAAUUAAAAUCUAUUAGAUGGG
This 5180-nucleotide long non-coding RNA is filed under the name Olea europaea subsp. europaea. The record is from RNAcentral. Lineage: Eukaryota; Viridiplantae; Streptophyta; Magnoliopsida; Lamiales; Oleaceae.